This 605-nucleotide ribosomal RNA is filed under the name Natronomonas pharaonis. RNAcentral describes it as "bacterial SSU rRNA". It matches the Rfam family "Archaeal small subunit ribosomal RNA", at positions 554 to 1157 of the family's 1478-position model. Lineage: Archaea; Methanobacteriati; Methanobacteriota; Halobacteria; Halobacteriales; Natronomonadaceae. The record is from RNAcentral.
CUCGCUUACGAGUGGGCGUCCGGCGAAAACUGCUCGGCUUGGGACCGGAAGAUCCAAGGGGUACGUCCGGGGUAGGAGUGAAAUCCCGUAAUCCUGGACGGACCACCGAUGGCGAAAGCACCUUGGAAGGACGGAUCCGACAGUGAGGGACGAAAGCUAGGGUCUCGAACCGGAUUAGAUACCCGGGUAGUCCUAGCCGUAAACGAUGCUCGCUAGGUGUGGCGCAGGCUACGAGCCUGCGCUGUGCCGUAGGGAAGCCGUGAAGCGAGCCGCCUGGGAAGUACGUCUGCAAGGAUGAAACUUAAAGGAAUUGGCGGGGGAGCACUACAACCGGAGGAGCCUGCGGUUUAAUUGGACUCAACGCCGGACAUCUCACCAGCUCCGACAGCAGUAAUGACGGUCAGGUUGAUGACCUUACCCGACGCUGCUGAGAGGAGGUGCAUGGCCGCCGUCAGCUCGUACCGUGAGGCGUCCUGUUAAGUCAGGCAACGAGCGAGACCCGCACCUCUAGUUGCCAGCAGCAUCUUGCGAUGGCUGGGUACACUAGGGGGACUGCCGUCGCUAAGACGGAGGAAGGAACGGGCAACGGUAGGUCCGCAUGCCCC